GGAUGUGAGGGGGUAAUCUGGUUGUGACAUCUGUCACCCCAUUGAUUGAUACGGUUAAUUUGGCUGAUCUGGAUGGCUAGGUGGGUGUCUCCUUCAUCCCUCACCACUCCAUGUAUGUCCCUCCCAAAGCUGUGUGCUGGGUCAAAGAGGACACCCUUCCUUGAACAGAGAUGAGCCAGUCUACAGAGGAGUGUGCUCAUAGCUUGCUCCCCUGCUAGAACCUCCAAACAAGCUCUCUCCUCUUACAAUUUGAUUCUUUUAAAAUAUAAACAUCUAGUUUAGAAAUGUAAAUAAUAGUUUUAUAUUCCUG
Molecule: unclassified non-coding RNA, 310 nt
Organism: Erinaceus europaeus (western European hedgehog)
Lineage: Eukaryota; Metazoa; Chordata; Mammalia; Eulipotyphla; Erinaceidae
Gene: 7SK
Rfam family: 7SK RNA
About the family: 7SK was discovered as an abundant small nuclear RNA in the mid-70s but a possible function has only recently been suggested.
Source: Ensembl